AAUUGUAGUUGUGUCUUAUUAUCGAAAUAACAAUAUAUUUGAAUUGAAAGGAAGGGAAAAGAUAUACUCCCUCUGUCCCAUUUAAUUGUAUACGUUUCUUUUUAACUGCUCGACACGCAUUUCAAUACUCUUAUAAAAUAUAGUUCCGUAACUUAUUUUUGAGAUUUUCUUUUUCUGAAUAAAAAUAUAACAUCCAAACUUUAAUUCAGAAAAAGAAAAUUUUAAAAAUAAAUUACACAACUACACUUUAUAGGAGCAUUAAGUCUGUGCCGCGUCCCCGUCCCGUAUACUAUUCAGGGGGACGGAGGGAGUAAAUUUUAACGUGGGUUCUAAGCAGUGAAGCUGGGAUUGUUAUUGUCCGAGGAUUUGUAUUGUAAAGUGUUUGAUGAAAGGACUGAAAGAGAUGUUUGUUCUCGGUAUAUAAUGGUUUCCAGGUAUGAGCGGCCACUUUGUUAAGGCCCCCAGCGGUUUUGUCCCAGGAACUUCAUGUUGAUUAAUUGUCCAAAUUUCACCUGACAGGAGAAGAAAAUAAUUCAACAUAUCCGAAAUUGUGAAGUUCCACAGAGCAGUACAUGGCUAUGAUGGGUAAUCAGGUACUCUCUUCCUAAGAUAUCAGAAGGAUAGUUUUGUUUUAUUCUAUUGUGACUAGUUGUAAAUCCCCUCUUUCAUAUACAACAACCAAUCAUGUUUUAACUUGGCCUACUUUUAGUUUUUAUAAUGGCUGGUCAUUUUUAAGCAUGUUUCAAGGUAAUAGAAGUUUUCAUCAAACUUUUUUUCCUGCUUUUCAGCAAAGAAAGGGAAGGUUGUUUUACAAGAUUCUAAUCGAUAUUUUUGACUUUCUUUGUAUCACUCUCUUAGCGGGUUUCAGUUAUAUAAUAUUGGGACUCUUUAUAGUUUGCAAAGACUAUUGAAAUCCCUAUAAGACUUAAUUUUGGUUCUUUUAAAUACGGUCUCUACUUUUCAUCCUACGACAAAUUCUUCAAUUGAAUUUAUCUAGAAGUGAUAUAACAUUCGAAACUAGCACAUUCUGAGAAGAUUUUUAUCAAUCAAUCACAGUAAUAACUAUAAGAAUAUUGUUGUACUCAUCACUUAAAUUAUUACUGGAGAGUGCUUUUUUUUUUUUGCUAAAUUAUAUACAGAACACUUGCUAUAAGCAUAAGAUAAGUAUUCUAGCUAAAAAGGAAUCUCUCCACCAGUGAUUGAUAUGUGUGUAUCUUUUUUUUUCUUGAACUCCUAACAAACAUAUCAUAACCCAGUUCAUUUUAUUGUCCUUUGGCCAAAAACCAAGAGCAAUUUAACAGUUGGAGAAUUCAAUAAGUACUAAUAGCACAUGAUGGAAAUCACACAAUAUAUAAUUAGGCAACUAGGGUGGCUGCUUCAUAGAAUAUGAUAAAUAUCAAUUAUUAUUACCUAAGAUGCAAUAACAUAUUAUAAUAUUUUACACAUAUCAAAUGUAUGAACCACCUCAGGAAAAUAAUAGCAACAGUGUCCUAAAUCCUCCCCUGCAAACUAAAACUUAACAGAUUUAGUACACUUCUGAUCUCGAACAGUCUGAUCAGCUAUAACAACAGUCGAAGUACAAUUCAAUUUCACCCCAACAGUCUUCUUAACUAUCUCUAUAAUCUCAACCCUCCCUCUAAUGCUGGUUUUGGUAUCUAAAGCCAAGGUUCCUGCUGUUAAAUCGGCAGGUAAUUGAGAAACCCUGAUAAUUUUUUCGAGCAAAAAAUUUGCAGUCACAGUCAUCUGAAUUGUUUUCCUGGCCUUAGCAUUUCCCUUAGGUAUUUGAGCUUCACCGAUAAGCACAUUUUCAUAGUAAAUUUCUGUUGUAGCAUUCUUGUACCUGAAUGAUGCUAUGUUUGGAUUUUUCACCGAAACUUCUGCUAUGAGUGUCAAAUUUGUACUUGGUACAAGAUUUCUUGGAUCCACGCCUUCUAGUCCCCUGAUCGUCACAUUAUUCAGAUUUAUCUUCGGAUCCUUAACCUUGAAAACAGUCAAAAAGAGUAUCAAUAAUGUUACUCCUAAGAUCACUAGUACUGCAGAGGUGCACCCGCAGCACUGCACACAUCUUCUCCGGAGACGCUUUCUUUCAGUCUCCUCCUCGGUUGAUCGUUGCGUGACGGUGUCAUUUGGUAUCGAGAUUUGAUGAGCUUCCGAGGCUAGGGGUCUUUCUUGCUCGUGCUCUACCAUGGCUACAAAAAAUAAUAGUUGUACAGUUUUUUCAGAGACUUGUCCUGGAGAAGCAGAGUACAAAUCUAAGUAUUUGAAGUAGAAUUUUAUGUUAUGUUUCAGAGUUUGGGUUGUUAUAUAUAGUAUAUGCAAUGCAAGUCUAGAAGCAUGGGUUAUUUAUUUAAUAUUUACGCGUUA
This is a long non-coding RNA of Daucus carota subsp. sativus, 2364 nucleotides long. RefSeq lists it as uncharacterized. The record is from RefSeq and is a predicted model, not a curated record. The transcript has 3 exons. NCBI's taxonomy places the organism in Eukaryota, Viridiplantae, Streptophyta, Magnoliopsida, Apiales, Apiaceae.